CUUAUCCCUCCCAAAAACACAGAGCCCAUCUUCUCUCCCAACUCGCGACCCACUUAGAAACCUCACCGUCAUCGUAUUCACCUUUUUUCCCACCACCUCACAGUCAAGCUCAAUUGGUCUUUCAUGCAUGUUUUUUAUCCCCAUCCCCGAGAACCCUAAAUCCCUCAUUUCCUGUUAUUUCUUUCUCAAUCCAGCAAGAGCCCUAAACUUUUUCUCCCAAUACCACUUCCAUCUCAACAACUUUCUCUUUAUUUCAGUAAACACAACAUAUAGCAUCCUAUCGCACACCCCUUUAAAGUUAUGCCGCCACACUAAUUGAUGAUAAGAAAACUACAUUGUCUAUAGUGGAAAGAUUAGAGUUUGAUUGGAACGUAAAGGGGAGACUUGGUGGGUCGAGAUUUAGGGUAUUUAUUAAUUAAAUUGGGGGUUUUGGUUUUGCCGGUAAGAAGUGUGAUUCUGUUGAUGGAUCAGGUUCAGUUUGGAUGGAAAACAUAAUGAAGCUUAUAUAAUACUUUAGCUUGAACCGUGUAAUUUAGUUGGGAAGAUGUAUGUACUCAUCUAAAGCUUGUACAAUAUAUUAAGGAUACCUAGAAGUGUGAGAUAGCUGCAAUUGAAUAUGCUGAUUGAAGCUUAUGGUGGGAAGCAUUUGAUUUCUGCCUUCUAAUUUGCCAGCUUCGGUGACUCAUCUAAAUCCAAUUCAACUCAAUGUGGUAAUUCCAAAGAUUUGGAAUCUCAGUAUCAACAUCAAGGUGGCAUAGUUAGUGAAGGGAAUGCCUAAGGCAUGCUUCAAUGAGCAUACUACGACCAUAUUUUCACUGUUAAGUGUUUGUUUUUAUCUAUUGAGAUGAUUUAUUUUUUGUUGAGUUAUAUUAAAACAACCUUAAAUUUUGGUAGCAUAUAAACCAAGCUAGUUAGUUAUUGGCAUUUGGCAACAUGUGUUUAAUUUGUAUAGCUUUAUAAAGAUAUUUGUUUCCAAUUAUUAAGUUAUAUAUGUAAUUUUAUUCUCAAUAAAACAAACUCAUGUAGUUUUACUCUUUAAUGUCAAAUGAUAUCAUUUCAAUACUUGUUAAUGGUAUUAGAGUUGCAUUUGAUUGUUAGAUUAUUUUAUAAUGAAGUUGUUGAUUGAUUUAUGUAAUGUUUUUUAUUUAUAAUGAAGUUCUUGAAAAGAAAACUAUUAUUU
Vicia villosa (hairy vetch) is the source of this 1180-nucleotide long non-coding RNA. RefSeq lists it as uncharacterized. The record is from RefSeq and is a predicted model, not a curated record. The transcript has 5 exons. NCBI's taxonomy places the organism in Eukaryota, Viridiplantae, Streptophyta, Magnoliopsida, Fabales, Fabaceae.